UCUCAAUAUAACCAACCGCUUUUGGCGAAUACUGAUUUUUCUUUUGGUAAUUAUAUUUUUCAUUAAUCACCAAAGAAGCCAUUAAAAAGCAGUAGAGUCAUCCCCGACUCACUUAGUCUUUACACAAUUCUAAUUCUAUCAUAUACUAUGAGCAGUACAUAAAGAAUUGCACAAAAAGCUGAAAGUUAUACGUUGCUUUCAUUAAAUAAGUUGCUGCAUCUUCUUCCUCAUCCCUCUUUGAACUCCAAUGUUGCAAACACAUGCUAUUUCUCUUGUAAUUAGCUCUGCUGUCCUCAUUGUCUUUUCAAAUAUUCUGCUAUUUCUCUCCCUCCAUAUCCCAUGGAUGUGUACUGAAAUUGAAUAAAUUUCUUUGAGACUUACUAAAACACAAUAAAU
RNAcentral lists this long non-coding RNA (396 nucleotides) under Nicotiana benthamiana. RNAcentral describes it as "long non-coding RNA (NBEN_LNC033351)". The record is from RNAcentral. Lineage: Eukaryota; Viridiplantae; Streptophyta; Magnoliopsida; Solanales; Solanaceae.